CACCCAGUGAAGUGUGCAUGUGUGCCCUUUGGGCUGGCGUGCAUGCUUUGAAGAAGUGGGGCCUGUAAAUAUUUUCUUGACAUUUAGGAAGUUUAGAGAAGUGCUUGUUACUUUGCUGCCAACUUGAUGACCAUAGCACGAAAAGCACAGAAGAUGUGCGUGGCUCCCUCCCGAGAGCAGCACUGUGGGGUGUUCUUCACCAUACAGCAUGACUUUGGGGUUUGGGGGAGUUGCACUGAUCUAGAAGAGGGAGAAGCUGCAGCUGGGGUGGGGUCUGGGUACUCCUCCCUUCCUGCCGCUGUUGCCCUCUCUGCGAUUUGGAGUGAUGCAGGAACGCGACAUCCAAUUUGCUUUUCCCCAGCGUUGGCUGUGGAGCUGCUCGCAGAGCUUUGGACGUGGGCACCCUGGCUCUAGGUAGCAAGUGUGGUUCAGGACACUUUCAGGUGCCCCUGGCUGGCUUGGCUGUCUUUCAGUGAACCUACUGAAAAUGGAAAAAGCCCGUGUCCUGUCUGUGAGUCAAUCCAGAGCCACCUUGCCCAAAGAAAAGCUAGAGAUGUCAGCGGUGACAGGCAACACAAGCCUUAAGGUAGGCAUUGACUCGUACAAGUCCCAGCAUCUGAAAAGAAUCCCUUUGCACUCAAGAACACUUUUUUUCUCUUCAACUUUGUGAAUCUAAAACUUCACUUUUGUGCAGUUACUGAAAACUCUGAAAUACAUAACUCCUCUGUGUACCCCAAACCCAGUAAUGUGGCUGUAACCUGCUGUGCCUUCAGGGAGCCCGCAGCAGAAACUGCUUAAGCUACUGUAGCUGGCUCCAUGCUAAUCACUGUGUGGUUAUGUGGCUAUACUACUGAGCUGCCUAAAUCAGGGGGUGAAGCAGCAACCAGCUGUAAACUCGUAUGUACAGACAUCUCCAAGGUCUCAUUUCAGAAGUGCAGGAUGAUUUGUCUGGGUGUCACUCUGCUCUGUAUUCACUGCACUUUUUGUGCCUGAGCAGUAAGCAGAAACGGAGCUGCAGGAGUCGUAGGGAAGAAGAGCACACAGCCUGGAGAGGAGCAAAUUGGAGACAUUUUCAAGACAGUGUUUGUGGGACUGCAGGAUUUUUUUUCUUUGUGGAUUAUAACUGCUUCAAAGUAUUAAUUUUGUCUUCUGACAUCACAUAGUGACUAUCAUACCUUUGAGUACCACCACCAUGUAUCUUGCUGCAGAGUCGAGGGAAGGUAGGCAGGUCUGCAAGUAUCACUUUAAAUCCUCUUAUCAGCUUGGUGAGGGAUUUACGUGUUUAGCAAUUUCUGGUACAGCUUUAAUGGAGCGGUUCUACGUUGGGGGGUCCUUUGAGGCUGCGAGUGGAAAACUGGACAUGAAGCAAUACUGAAGCAUUGUCAGAAUCGAUUGUCGCUCGUCUGGCUUUGCUGGGCAGGAGGGCAGCAGGUUCCUAAAGGGCACUUGGGAGUUGCUGUCGCAGGUUUGGGUACAUGUGGUUCAGCUGGCCUUUGUCGGCCCUGCCUCUGGCAAAGCUGCAUUGCCUACAGCAGCUGCACCAAGCAAAGUGUGCAGGGCCUGGCCCUACCUCCUGUUAUAGGGGCCUGGGACAAUUAAAUGACGGCUUAGGUGCAUCCCCUCUUUGCCAUCAGGCUUCUGACUGCGGUGUAGGCAUGCCCUCUGCUUUUCCAGGUGUUUCCCUUUCAGGCAUAUCCCAACAAGUAUAUUAAUGAUGGAAACUCUUGUGGACCCGACAGUUUUGUGAAACUCUUAGGUCUCUAUACUUUGAUUCUCAGUAUUAAUGUUUUCUUUCUGUUUUAACCAGAAGAAUGGGGACAGCGGAGUCCUCCCCAUCACACGGAGCUGUAAAGCAUCGCAUGUAGGCAGCUGUUGGUUUUUUCUCUUUUCCCACUUCUGUCCACUUGUUCCUUGUACUCAUUCCUUACAGUUUCUUUUUCUCUCACUCUGUUUCAAUGCCUCCUAAACUUCGGCAUUGUCACUGCUGCAGGUUUCUGUGCUUGGUUGGCACUUUUCGUAUCUGAUUAGGUCAAUAACCACGACAUAGCACUGGCUGUGUGUUGAACAGAGCAGUAGGCAGUUGCGGAAGCUAACAGUAACAAAUGAUUAAUGCAUGAGUUGAGUGAAGGGCCUGCGUUUGAUGGAGACCCCAGCUGGGGGGGAGGGGGAGGGAACCUGGCUGGCACGGGGAGGUGGGAUGCAGUUUUCAUCUGGUGGGCGACCAAAAAGCCAAGUGCGACUGACCCGAAUUGCCAGUGGUUUGAACUCCUGUAGCUCUCUGAAUUCAGGAAGAAUUCCUCAUGCAUGGCAUGUGUCUGCCCAAGUAGCUUUUGAGGGAAGGACCUCUUGGUCCCACACCAGUCCCUGUGACCUGGUGCUGCGGUUUGCAGUCCUGUGGCACUGAGGAAGCAGUGUGGUAAGGGCAGGGCAGGAGGGCAGCAGGUUCCUAAAAGGGCACAGGCUGCACUGCUCAGUGUAGCUGGAAAUCACCUCUGGUGUUUUCAGGGGUGCAGACUAGGCACGCUCGUUCAUGACUAAAGCUGUUCACCAGACUGCAGAAAAAAUAGCUGGCGUUUCCAUGAGGUGCUGCUUUUCUCAAGAGGUUGGCAGGAGCUCCUCUGAUGCAGCUGGCCAUGCACCCCGUCAGGUCUUCUGAAGGAGCCAGGAAACACGACCCUGGAUCAAGGGGUCAGAGCCAGUCAGAAGCCACCACACUUAAAGCUGAGGUGCCAGAAGCGGUGGCUCUGCAGAGCAGGAGGUAGCUGGGUGAGAGCAGAAACCAUGCUGCAGCGCCCGCAGCGCAAGCCCCGCACUGGGACCCUGUGCAUCAGCACUCCCAGGGUGACAGCCCCUGUGGCGGGGACUGUCCCUGAAAGCCUGCACCAAGGGCCAGGUCACUGUGAGGCCAUCCAAACCCUGCCUCUGAAACACGUUUAGUGCCUGAAACUGGCUUCCGACACCACCACUGGUCCUUGCUUCGUAAAAAUGUAUUUUGUCCAAAAUUGUACUCCCCUGCUUCACCAAGCCAAGAAACAAAAUUCUUUCCAAUGUUGUAUUUCAUCAAAAUGCUUUAAUGAAAAACAGUUUUUAAAAUUAAAACAUUUUGAGCAGAAAUUAAAAUUUCUCCAUUGUCAAAGUAUCAAUCCGUAAUUUCUCCAAUAUCCAAGUAUCAAGCAGUGUAGUGCUACAGGAUCAAGGUGAAGCUGCAGCAAGCACCAUGAGUUCCUCAGUUGUGCUUGCUUUGCAAUCCCUUUCCAGGUAUCAUCUCUUCCCAGGCCUUUUCCUGCAUGCGUAUAAAUGUAUAUAUUCUAUUUGCUCUGUUAACAAAUCAUGAGGAAGCAGUAGGAGCUCAGACCCACAGCUCUUUCUCUUCCAUUGAACUUUUCUCUGUUAUUCUUGGGGAAGCUGAGCAGGGGUCAAGCCCAGCUAGGGAAAUGAGGUCUGGGGCUAUGGAAAACUCGGACCCCAGCGCCACCUCCUAUUAUAUAGAUAUAAAUGGAAUGGAAAAUUAUUUCGAAUAAAAGUGCACUGCCCUCUGAGAAAUGUUCUCACAGAACUGCCUCUGAGAGUGUCUUAACUCUUUAUCAGAGCACGGGGCUGUGCCGGGGGGAGGACUUCCCUGACGCAGCACAGCCAGCACAGGCUGAGUGCGAGGGACGUGCCUGCAGCCAGCACCCAGUGGAGCGGCCAAGCAGCCGUGCUGCUUUCCAGGCACAGCUGGAGGGCGAUUCCCUUCUCCUUCCCUCUUCCCUCUUGCAGGUGGUGAAGCUGCAUCAGCAUCACCCGCUGGCCCAGCCAGCACUGCGCCAGCAUCCCUGGGCUGGGUUUGGGCUUCUCCUCCUCCAAGGGCUGCGGGAGCAGUGCAGGCACAGCCUGAGCGCACCCAGUGCCACCCAAAUUUUUGAGAACAUCACAGUCAGCAGCAUGGUGCUAGACUCACACAGCAAGGCAGCAGCAGGGACAUGCACCAGCCGUUCUCUGUCCCCACUUCAACGCCAGUCCAUUUGCAUCUCUCUGCACGUGAGAGCAAAGCACUCAUCAUCAUGGACAGAAAGAGAAGCAGAGGAGAUCCCGUCCUGCGGUGCCUGGACAGUGCCGCGUGCUGCAGAUAGCACACAAACAGGCGAGGGGUGCAGGGUGAGCGGUGGCUGAGUGACAGGGUGCAAGGAACAGGGGGAGGCAGGGGAAGGAGCAAAGCCAUUGUGACACUGCAGCUCCUGGUCACUAGCCUGGCCUCCUUUGUCACUUGUCACUGGCAGCCCCAUCACCUCCCUCUCCGCUAGCAGCAAGGCAGCUAAGUGCCAUUCUGAAGAGGAGGACAGAUGUCAGGCAUGAGCUGGUCUGCAGGUUCGGGAGUGCUGUUCAGCCUAAAGUAAUGAAGAGAGACUUCCUGAGCUCCCUACAGAACAAAGGCAGAGAGAGUGUUAUGUCCUGAAGCUGUACGUUUCUGUGUUUACAUACUGCUGUAAUUGUUAUUAAAUUUUACCAAGUACUUAU
Molecule: long non-coding RNA, 4497 nt
Organism: Cygnus olor (mute swan)
Lineage: Eukaryota; Metazoa; Chordata; Aves; Anseriformes; Anatidae
Exons: 2
Source: RefSeq, a predicted model, not a curated record